UGGCACCCGCAGUGAUGGUUUUCUGUGACCCGCAUAGCAACCCGAGGAGGAGGAAUUGUUAGGAUUUCCAUUUUACAGCUAAGAAAAUCGAGGCACAGCUGUUAAGUAAAAUGCCCCAAGCCACAGCUGCUUAGAGCCAGUCCACUGGCCCAGAUCUCAACCUUUGAACCACGAUGCUGAUGCAGCAGGGGCCAAUCCCUCAGCCUCCCUAGGCCUCAGCUCUUCCAUCUGUAAAAUGGAGUCAUAGCAUAUUCCUCAAAGGGCUGUUUUAGAGGUUUGAUGGCAUCCUAAUUUCGGAGUCCGGCAUAGCACCUGCUGUGUAGCAGGUGCUCAAUGAACAUGUACGCCUUUCCUCUUCUGUUCUCUCUGCAAUGAGGUUGAAUCCCCCAGUCUCACCUGGCUAUGACCCAACAAAGUCAGGCUCUAUGACUGGUUUGAAUGGAGGUUUGAGGUGGAGGGGAGGCCCCAUAGGAAGCACCAUGUACCCCUGCCCCUGGCUAGAGGGUCUGGCCACUCCCCUUUCUACCCACACCCUCUGUGGGCCACCUAAUGUGGGGAGUGGGAAUACCACCCUGCAGACCCCUCUUUUCUCUGGCCACAGGCAGCUAGUCCCACGUCCAGCCUGCCAAAGCCCUCUGCAGCCCCCACCCCUGCCCGCCUCUACUCCCAGGAGUGGAGGGCUCUCUUUGCAGGAGCCCAGAAGUUCAUUUCCUGUUCCAGCAGCUCCUGAGGUUGGGGAACCCCGCGUGCCUUCCACCGUCCUCUGCAUCUCAGCUCUGACUUGGCAGCCCUCCGACCUCGGCCUGGUUACUUCGCCUUUCAGCAGCUUCUUUAUGUGGCUGCAGUGAGAAUUAAGUGACAUAAUCCAUGUACAGUGCCAGGCACACAGAAGGUCAUUCAGGAAAGAUGAUUAAACUACUCACCCAGGGACACUGACUGGUAAGUGGCAGAGCCUGGGUUUGAACCCAGGUCUACUGAAUGCUAGAGCCUGUGGAAACUGGAGCUUU
Pan paniscus (pygmy chimpanzee) is the source of this 1007-nucleotide long non-coding RNA. The record is from Ensembl. NCBI's taxonomy places the organism in Eukaryota, Metazoa, Chordata, Mammalia, Primates, Hominidae.